This 127-nucleotide ribosomal RNA is filed under the name uncultured bacterium. RNAcentral describes it as "partial 16S ribosomal RNA". The record is from RNAcentral.
AGUUAGCCGGGGCUUAUUCCCCAGGUACCGUCAUUAUUCUUCCUGAGAAAGGGGUUUACAACCGAAGGCCGUCAUCCCCCACGCGGUGUCGCUGUGUCAGGCUUUCGCCCAUUGCACAAUAUUCCUU